This is a long non-coding RNA of Priapulus caudatus, 572 nucleotides long. RefSeq lists it as uncharacterized. The record is from RefSeq and is a predicted model, not a curated record. NCBI's taxonomy places the organism in Eukaryota, Metazoa, Priapulida, Priapulimorpha, Priapulimorphida, Priapulidae. The transcript is spliced from 3 exons.
GAGAGAGAGAGAGAGAGAGAGAGAGAGAGAAGCGCAUGCUCAUCAUUUACGCAAACAAGUUUUGGUUUGAAAACUCGUUAUUCUUUAUUGAAUUGUAUGUUAUUGUGUAUUACACAAAACGAGCAUUUAUUAUCUCUUUAGCCUGUCAGUAUGUUCAACAUAGCCAUCGUAGUGCAUAAGCAAAUAAUUAUGACCUGCCACCUAGUGUCAGAAAUAAUUAUACAGCGCGCAUAUAUAAAUGAAUCACUUGGACUUUCGUCACGCCAUGACGGGCUUCUCACUCGCGAGAUAUAUCACGGUCAGUAUAGACGUGGCCAGAAACGUCCCCGCCAUGUUCUCUCUGCGUGUUUGUCGUCGAAGAUUAAAGCUGUGACAACUUCGAAUGCGCAUCAUAAUUGCAGCUAAGGUUCAAUCGCCAGACUGGAGGACACGGAAAAUUAUCACGUUUUCGAGGCAGCGUCGUGCAAUGAUUGAGUGGUUAACGGUCUUCAGUUGAAAAUACCAAGAGGUGCACAGAGAUAAACGCAGUGCCAAUGCACGUCCGCUGAGGACACGGAAAUCAAGAUGUUUUC